UACGUAGGGGGCAAGCGUUGUCCGGAAUCAUUGGGCGUAAAGCGCGUGUAGGCGGUUCGAUAAGUCUGCUGUGAAAGUCCAGGGCUCAACCCUGGAAAGCCGGUGGAAACUGUCAAGCUUGAGUCCGGAAGAGGCGAGUGGAAUUCCUGGUGUAGCGGUGAAAUGCGCAGAUAUCAGGAGGAACACCAAUGGCGAAGGCAGCUCGCUGGGACGGUACUGACGCUGAGACGCGAAAGCGUGGGGAGCAAACAGG
RNAcentral lists this ribosomal RNA (253 nucleotides) under uncultured bacterium. RNAcentral describes it as "partial 16S ribosomal RNA". It matches the Rfam family "Bacterial small subunit ribosomal RNA", at positions 524 to 776 of the family's 1533-position model. The record is from RNAcentral.